This 364-nucleotide transfer-messenger RNA is filed under the name Salmonella enterica. Its description in RNAcentral is "Standard tmRNA". It matches the Rfam family "transfer-messenger RNA". Rfam says of the family: Bacterial tmRNA, also known as 10Sa RNA or SsrA, is named for its dual tRNA and mRNA-like properties. Lineage: Bacteria; Pseudomonadati; Pseudomonadota; Gammaproteobacteria; Enterobacterales; Enterobacteriaceae. RNAcentral also lists the same sequence under 4 other names. The record is from RNAcentral.
GGGGCUGAUUCUGGAUUCGACGGGAUUUGCGAAACCCAAGGUGCAUGCCGAGGGGCGGUUGGCCUCGUAAAAAGCCGCAAAAAAAAUAGUCGCAAACGACGAAACCUACGCUUUAGCAGCUUAAUAACCUGCUUAGAGCCCUCUCUCCCUAGCCUCCGCUCUUAGGACGGGGAUCAAGAGAGGUCAAACCCAAAAGAGAUCGCGCGGAUGCCCUGCCUGGGGUUGAAGCGUUAAAACGAAUCAGGCUAGUCUGGUAGUGGCGUGUCCGUCCGCAGGUGCCAGGCGAAUGUAAAGACUGACUAAGCAUGUAGUACCGAGGAUGUAGGAAUUUCGGACGCGGGUUCAACUCCCGCCAGCUCCACCA